This 254-nucleotide ribosomal RNA is filed under the name uncultured bacterium. Its description in RNAcentral is "partial small subunit ribosomal RNA". It matches the Rfam family "Bacterial small subunit ribosomal RNA", at positions 27 to 285 of the family's 1533-position model. The record is from RNAcentral.
GGGACGAACGCUGGCGGCGUGCUUAUCACAUGCAAGUCGAGCGGAAAGGCCCUUCGGGGUACUCGAGCGGCGAACGGGUGAGUAACACGUGAGCAACCUGCCCUUAGCUUCGGGAUAGCUCCGGGAAACCGGAAUUAAUACCGAAUAUGACUUUGGCUGACAUCAGCAGAAGUGGAAAGUUUUUCGGCUAGGGAUGGACUCGCGGCCUAUCAGCUAGUUGGUGAGGUAACGGCCCACCAAGGCGACGACGGGUA